Non-coding RNA from Gymnothorax javanicus (giant moray), 73 nucleotides. The record is from the annotation of a GenBank genome assembly. Lineage: Eukaryota; Metazoa; Chordata; Actinopteri; Anguilliformes; Muraenidae.
GGCACGGUGGUGCAGUGGUUAGCACUGUCGCCUCACAGGUUGUGGGUCAUGGGUUCGAUUCCGGCCUGGGCCU